GGGGAUGUAGCUGGAUGGUAGAGUGCUUACCUGGCAUGUGUGAGGCCCUGGGUCUGAUUCCCAAUAUCACCA
Molecule: transfer RNA, 72 nt
Filed under: Ictidomys tridecemlineatus (thirteen-lined ground squirrel)
Lineage: Eukaryota; Metazoa; Chordata; Mammalia; Rodentia; Sciuridae
Description: Spermophilus tridecemlineatus (thirteen-lined ground squirrel) tRNA
Rfam family: tRNA
About the family: Transfer RNA (tRNA) molecules are approximately 80 nucleotides in length. Their secondary structure includes four short double-helical elements and three loops (D, anti-codon, and T loops).
Source: Rfam by way of RNAcentral